Molecule: transfer RNA, 74 nt
Filed under: Chloroflexota bacterium
Lineage: Bacteria; Bacillati; Chloroflexota
Also listed under: 2 other names
Description: Chloroflexi bacterium tRNA-Cys
Rfam family: tRNA
About the family: Transfer RNA (tRNA) molecules are approximately 80 nucleotides in length.
Source: RNAcentral
GGCGACGUAGCCAAGUGGUAAGGCAGAGGUCUGCAAAACCUCCAUCCCGAGUUCGAUUCUCGGCGUCGCCUCCA